GGCUUAGAAGCAGCCACUCAUUAAAAGAGUGCGUAAUAGCUCACUGGUCGAGUGAUCCCGCGCCGAAAAUUUAACGGGGCUAAACUAUAAACCGAAGCUUGGGAUACCGCAAGGUAUGGUAGGAGAGCGUCAUGUAAGGGGUGAAGUCAUAGCGAAAGCGGUGGUGGACUUUACAUGAGUGAGAAUGCCGGAAUGAGUAGCGAGAAUUAAGUGAGAAUCUUAAUGGCCGAAAGUCUAAGGUUUUUGGAGGAAGGUUCGUCCGCUCCAAGUAAGUCGGGAGCUAAGGCGAGGCCGAAAGGCGUAGUCGAUGCACAUACGGUUGAUAUUCCGUAACCACUGACAACUUAAACAAAAUGACACUUUAGAAGGGCUUGACCCGGGUGCUGGUAAUCCCGGGCGUAAGGGACCGAAAUUUAGUAGGGAAGCAAGCUUGGAUGGAGGCGAGAAAAGUUUUGUGUAUGUAAUGUUGGUGCCCGUACCGCAAACCGACACAGGUGGACAGGAAGAGAAUUCUAAGGCCAGCGGGAGAAGGGUAGUUAAGGAACUCGGCAAAUUGACUCCGUAACUUCGGGAAAAGGAGUGCUCUCGAGAGAGAGCCGCAGUGAAUAGGCCCAGGCGACUGUUUAGCAAAAACACAGGUCUCUGCCAAAUCGAAAGAUGAAGUAUAGGGGCUGACACCUGCCCGGUGCUGGAAGGUUAAGAGGAGGAGUGAGAGCUCCGAAUUGAAGCCCCAGUAAACGGCGGCCGUAACUAUAACGGUCCUAAGGUAGCGAAAUUCCUUGUCGGGUAAGUUCCGACCCGCACGAAUGGUGUAACGAUCUGGGCACUGUCUCAACUACCCGCCCGGCGAAAUUGUAGUACCGGUGAAGAUGCCGGUUACCUGCGACAAGACGGAAAGACCCCAUGGAGCUUUACUGUAGCUUGAUAUUGGGUUUCGGUAAUUUAUGUACAGGAUAUGUGGGAGACUGGGAAGUUAUGGCGCCAGCCAUAAUGGAGUCGAUGUUGGGAUACCACACUUAGAUUGCUGGAAUUCUAACCUGUGGCCAUGAAACUGGUCAGGGGACAUUGUCAGGUGGGCAGUUUGACUGGGGCGGUCGCCUCCGAAAGAGUAACGGAGGCGCUCAAAGGUUGGCUCAGCACGGACGGAAACCGUGCAUUAGAGUGUAAACGCGUAAGCCAGCCUAACUGCGAGGGUGACGGCCCGAGCAGUAACGAAAGUUGGAGUUAGUGAUCCGGCGGUAUGUGAAUGGAAAUGCCGUCGCUCAACGGAUAAAAGCUACCCUGGGGAUAACAGGCUGAUCUCCCCCAAGAGUCCACAUCGACGGGGAGGUUUGGCAC
Molecule: ribosomal RNA, 1338 nt
Filed under: metagenome
Description: bacterial LSU rRNA
Rfam family: Bacterial large subunit ribosomal RNA
Source: RNAcentral